AACGAACGCUGGCGGCAUGCCUAACACAUGCAAGUCGAACGAGAUCUUCGGGUCUAGUGGCGCACGGGUGCGUAACGCGUGGGAAUCGGCCCUUUGGUUCGGAAUAACAGUUGGAAACGACUGCUAAUACCGGAUGAUGACGAAAGUCCAAAGAUUUGUCGCCAGAGGAUGAGCCCGCGUAGGAUUAGCUAGUUGGUGUGGUAAAGGCGCACCAAGGCGACGAUCCUUAGCUGGUCUGAGAGGAUGAUCAGCCACACUGGGACUGAGACACGGCCCAGACUCCUACGGGAGGCAGCAGUGGGGAAUAUUGGACAAUGGGCGAAAGCCUGAUCCAGCAAUGCCGCGUGAGUGAUGAAGGCCUUAGGGUUGUAAAGCUCUUUUACCCGGGAUGAUAAUGACAGUACCGGGAGAAUAAGCUCCGGCUAACUCCGUGCCAGCCGCCGCAGUAA
RNAcentral lists this ribosomal RNA (449 nucleotides) under uncultured bacterium. Its description in RNAcentral is "partial 16S ribosomal RNA". It matches the Rfam family "Bacterial small subunit ribosomal RNA", at positions 29 to 523 of the family's 1533-position model. The record is from RNAcentral.